This 74-nucleotide transfer RNA is filed under the name Stegodyphus dumicola. RNAcentral describes it as "tRNA-Thr". It matches the Rfam family "tRNA". Rfam says of the family: Transfer RNA (tRNA) molecules are approximately 80 nucleotides in length. The record is from RNAcentral. Lineage: Eukaryota; Metazoa; Arthropoda; Arachnida; Araneae; Eresidae.
GCCUUCGUGGUGUAGUGGUUCUGCACGCUGGGCCAGUAUUCCAGAGGUCCGUGGUUCGAUUCCAGGCGAAGGCG